UGAGGGAAGUAAUUGCACAAAUGGAGGGAAACUCUGAUGCAGCAACGCCGCGUGGAGGAUGACGCAUUUCGGUGUGUAAACUCCUUUUAUGAGUCAAGAAAAUGACGGUAGCUCAUGAAUAAGCACCGGCUAACUCCGUGCCAGCAGCCGCGGUAAUACGGAGGGUGCAAGCGUUAUUCGGAAUCACUGGGCGUAAAGGACGCGUAGGCGGGAAGCCAAGUCUGAUGUGAAAUCCUAUGGCUUAACCAUAGAACUGCAUUGGAAACUGGUUACCUAGAGUAUGGGAGGGGGAGAUGGAAUUAGUGGUGUAGGGGUAAAAUCCGUAGAUAUCACUAGGAAUACCGAAAGCGAAGGCGAUCUCCUGGAACAAUACUGACGCUAAGGCGUGAAAGCGUGGGGAGCAAACG
Molecule: ribosomal RNA, 407 nt
Filed under: uncultured bacterium
Lineage: Bacteria
Description: bacterial SSU rRNA
Rfam family: Bacterial small subunit ribosomal RNA
Source: RNAcentral